AGUGAACGCUGGCGGUAGGCCUAACACAUGCAAGUCGAACGGCAGCACAGUAAGAGCUUGCUCUUACGGGUGGCGAGUGGCGGACGGGUGAGGAAUACAUCGGAAUCUACUUUUUCGUGGGGGAUAACGUAGGGAAACUUAAGCUAAUACAGCAGACGACCUACGGGUGAAAGCAGGGGAUCUUCGGACCUUGCGGGAUUGAAUGAGCCGAUGUCGGAUUAGCUAGUUGGCGGGGUAAAGGCCCACCAAGGCGACGAUCCGUAGCUGGUCUGAGAGGAUGAUCAGCCACACUGGAACUGAGACACGGACCAGACUCCUACGGGAGGCAGCAGUGGGGAAUAUUGGACAAUGGGCGCAAGCCUGAUCCAGCCAUACCGCGUGGGUGAAGAAGGCCUUCGGGUUGUAAAGCCCUUUUGUUGGGAAAGAAAAGCAGCAGGUUAAUACCCCGCUGUUCUGACGGUACCCAAAGAAUAAGCACCGGCUAACUUCGUG
This 492-nucleotide ribosomal RNA is filed under the name uncultured bacterium. RNAcentral describes it as "partial 16S ribosomal RNA". It matches the Rfam family "Bacterial small subunit ribosomal RNA", at positions 29 to 507 of the family's 1533-position model. The record is from RNAcentral.